This is a small nuclear RNA of Ochotona curzoniae (black-lipped pika), 104 nucleotides long. The record is from RefSeq and is a predicted model, not a curated record. NCBI's taxonomy places the organism in Eukaryota, Metazoa, Chordata, Mammalia, Lagomorpha, Ochotonidae.
GUGCUUGCUUUGGCAGCACAUGUACUAAAACUGGAACAAUACAGAGAUUAGCAUGGCCCCUGCACAAGUAUGACACAUAAAUUCAUGAAGUGUUCCAUAUUUUU